UACGAAGGGGGCUAGCGUUGAUCGGAAUCACUGGGCGUAAAGCGCACGUAGGCGGAUUGUUAAGUCAGGGGUGAAAUCCUGGAGCUCAACUCCAGAACUGCCUUUGAUACUGGCGAUCUCGAGUCCGGGAGAGGUGAGUGGAACUGCGAGUGUAGAGGUGAAAUUCGUAGAUAUUCGCAAGAACACCAGUGGCGAAGGCGGCUCACUGGCCCGGUACUGACGCUGAGGUGCGAAAGCGUGGGGAGCAAACAGG
RNAcentral lists this ribosomal RNA (253 nucleotides) under uncultured bacterium. Its description in RNAcentral is "partial 16S ribosomal RNA". It matches the Rfam family "Bacterial small subunit ribosomal RNA", at positions 524 to 776 of the family's 1533-position model. The record is from RNAcentral.